UGUUUUUGAAACGCGAAAACUGUCAUGGCCGCAAUGUAUGUGUGCGUCUGUUGCUGUUGCUGUCCAAAUGCAUAAUUUUGACUCCGGUCUUAAGUUAAACAUGUAUCAACUACAAUAUUGGCCGUGCCUGCAUGGUAGUCGCUGCCUUCUCUGCGACAUCGUGGAUAUUGGUGGAUUACGCUUGUCCUGUGAAUGUACAGCGCACUUGCAAACUCAGUCACCGCCUGCAGCCCAUCGGUCGCAACUGGAUUAUUUUGUACUUCUCCAUUACAUAAGGGGGAUUCUCUCAUCGACCAGAUGCGGAGAGUCAAGACCUAGGCAAGAGAGCAGGGGAAGGGUCGAGCAGAACUGGCAUCACUGCGGUUCUCAGCCCUGUCCUGUGCAUGCACGGGGAGGACCCGCACAUUUCAGGGGAGGGGGCGGACUGGUUGCCUUCACGUGUCUGAAGCCAGCCACACCCUCCCCGCCUGAAGAGCCUGACUUGAAUGACCACUGUUCCUAGUCAUGCAGAUACUUAUACCGACUGGGCGGAGUUGUCGGGUAGUUGAUUUCGAAGGUUUUAUUCACAUUUUACCAAAAAUAAAAAGAUUUCCAAGACUA
Bacillus rossius redtenbacheri is the source of this 600-nucleotide long non-coding RNA. RefSeq lists it as uncharacterized. NCBI's taxonomy places the organism in Eukaryota, Metazoa, Arthropoda, Insecta, Phasmatodea, Bacillidae. The transcript has 3 exons. The record is from RefSeq and is a predicted model, not a curated record.